UAGGGAAUCUUCCACAAUGGGCGCAAGCCUGAUGGAGCAACACCGCGUGAGUGAAGAGGGGUUUCGGCUCGUAAAGCUCUGUUGUUAAAGAAGAACACGUAUGAGAGUAACUGUUCAUACGUUGACGGUAUUUAACCAGAAAGUCACGGCUAACUACGUGCCAG
RNAcentral lists this ribosomal RNA (164 nucleotides) under uncultured bacterium. RNAcentral describes it as "partial 16S ribosomal RNA". It matches the Rfam family "Bacterial small subunit ribosomal RNA", at positions 355 to 511 of the family's 1533-position model. The record is from RNAcentral.